RNAcentral lists this long non-coding RNA (2158 nucleotides) under Vigna radiata. Its description in RNAcentral is "long non-coding RNA (VRAD_LNC014855)". Lineage: Eukaryota; Viridiplantae; Streptophyta; Magnoliopsida; Fabales; Fabaceae. The record is from RNAcentral.
AUGAGUGGUUAUUUCUUGAACUAUAUUUAGUUUACUGCACUUAAAUAAACCAGGGAAUUGUGUUUAUUUGUCUGUUAUUUCCCCGUUUUCCGAAUUCUGCUUAAUUUGGUCGGAAAUUUGUAAUUGUGCUAAUUUGGGUUUUCUGAGCUGAUUAAGUGUAUUUUGGUUGCAGGGAAAUUUUGGGAAACAUAAAUUGGAGCAUUAGGGAUGGUGGCAUAAUUAUUCAAGACUCAACAUUUAGCCAUUUCCAUUUUUUUAAAGUUGUAAUUUCGUUUUUUUAGAAACCUUAAUUAGAUUAAGUGCAUUUGGGCCCUUUUGUGGCAAAUUUUGUAGAAGCCCAAUGUGUGGGACACUUGGCACCAAAACCCUAGGUUUUUAGGAGGUGGACCCCACCUAUUUUGUGAAGUUGGACGGUAUUUCCUAGGGCAAUUGCCGAACACACACACAACUCACUCAUUCCACACUUUUGCUUUAACUUUGCCUUGUAUGAACUCUCUCUUAGAGCCUUGGUGUGCCAUUUUCGGUUUUCUACCAUGAAUGAACAAGAACAUGUUUUUCUUCUUCUAUUGCUUGCAACAAUGCUUGUUCUUGUUUGAUGGAAUGAAGCUCUACCAUUUCUCUCUUUAGAUUUUCGUUUUGAAGUGAAUUCGAAUUUAUCUUGAGUUUCUUGGUUUGGAGGAUGAAAAUGGAGUUGUUGUCAAGUUUGGUAGUGAAAAAUGCUUAAGUUGGUACAUCGGUAUAGGAUUCUUGAACCAUUUUCUUCUAGCAUUUUGUUUUUGAUGUUUGGAAGCAUAUUUUGAGCUGGACUUUGUGAUUGAUGAUGGUGGCUGGACGGUAAUGCUAGGGAAGCUAGAGGUUUGGUUUUGUUUUGGUCAAAAAAGUUGAAGAAAGAUGAGUGGUGAAGUUGGAUUUAUGAAGGUAGAACUUGGUUUUGCUAUGCUUGUGUUGAUUUGCAUUUGAAACUUGGGUUUCUUUGUGUGUGUUCUCAGUAAUGGAGAAUGGAAGGAACAAUUUGAAUGUUGCUUGUUGAAGAAAAACCAAAAAGAGUGGUGCAAGGAGAUAGAAUGCUUCAUUUAAUUCUUUACCUCAUUUGGCCAUGCACAUGAAGGGGACAUUUUCCAUAGGAAGGAAUAUUUCCAUUUUGGUUUUGUCCUACUAUCACUUGAAAUUGCCGUGAGUAGCUUUGGAGAUGGGAGGUUAUUGUGAUUGUUUUCCCUUGCCUUGACUUUGCACAUGUGGCAUCUUGAAAGAAGAGAUUAAAGCACCCCUUUGACUUGUGGACUUUUUAGAAGCAUUCUUUGCACCCAACUAUUGCAUUGCUCACGUGAAUUUGUGUUCCUUAGUGUGAGGUUUUGUUUUUGCUGCAUGGAAAGGAGUGAUGGGACGAUUUUGAAUGAUUUGGAAGGCAUAUGAUUGUUGUCUUGAAGUAUGGUGCAUAUGAGACAAAGAGUCAACACAUCUUGCAUGGUUCAUUUAAGGAAGAAAGCCAAGAAUUGAAGUUGGGCCUUGGUGGACUAGGAGCUCACGGCCCAAGGGGGUUUUCUCAAGCUAAUUGCACUUUUAAUUUCAUUUGGUAGAUGAAUAUUGGUCAUAUAAUUGAUGGAUGAAAAAACAUGUUUAAUUACCCCUUUGUUUUGCAUUAAUUUGCAUAGUAGGAAUAGUAGGUUUUGAUGUCUCUAAUUUAGUGUUGCAUUUUAUAGUCUUACUUGUGUUUAGAUAAUUGUUUGUUGAAAUGUUGGGAUUAGCACUUUAUUUUACCUUGAUGUUUUCUAACUUACACAGUUGAGUUUAAUGUCCAUUCGUUUUAAUUUAGUUAUUCGUAUUCGCAAAAAUACUUUUCAAAACCCCCCCUUUUUCGUGCUAGACUUGACUCUGAACCGCAGUUGGUCCUUGAGAGAUGACCUAGGGGUCAUUCCCUAGCAUUAUACUGCAGUUCUAAAUUGCAAUCAAAUUUGUAUGGGCAGCGAAAUCCAUCAUAAAGCACCGCAUCUCCUCCUAGACCAAAUUAAAUGCAAUGUUCUUUCAAUCACCCACCGUAACCCUUUUGCUCGCAAAUUGAAUUGACACUUUCUUCAAAAGAAAAAUGACCGCACCUGCCUCCAUCCUGGACUUAACCGUGUGCUCCCAAGAUAAAUCAAAUUUGAAUCAGUGUUAUUCU